This 323-nucleotide long non-coding RNA is filed under the name Helianthus annuus (common sunflower). Its description in RNAcentral is "sRNA HanXRQr2_Chr07g0286781". The record is from RNAcentral. Lineage: Eukaryota; Viridiplantae; Streptophyta; Magnoliopsida; Asterales; Asteraceae.
UUGGCACAUGGCUCCAAGGAUUCUUAUCAUUACAUUAAGAUCACACUCCACCCUCACACCUCUCUCUCCCAUUUUCGGCUGCCCAUAGCUGAUUUCACCAUCACCACCACUUAAUCACCAUCUUCAUCCAUUUCUAAGAUCCAUUCAAGCAUUGAAGGUGGUUCAUGAAGGUAGCAAGUUGAAGGAACUUCAAGGAAGCCUUGUUCUAAUCUUAUCAUCACCUCUUUCACCAUCAUCUUUGUCCUAAGAUUGUUACCCUAGCCUUGUGCUAGUAGAUCUUCGUUUAUGCACUUUUGGUAGUCGUGUUUGCUGAGGAGAUUUGG